CCAAACGGGAAAGAGUGAGGGAAGAAAAUCCUUAUCACUUGGAAACGACCUGGAUUUCCUGCUGGGGACACCGUGUCGUUUUUCAAGAUGUGAAGGGCUUUUUCCUUGUCCAAGUUCAGGUUGUUUUUCCAAGAUAAAGGGGAUUUUGUGGUCGGUUUAGUCCUUCCCACCAACACACAACCACAGCUCGAUCAAGACUGGGGUUGCAAAAAUCCCAAGUGUGUUUAAGUUUCAUGAAAAGAAUUGUCCAUUUUGAGCGAGCACAGGAAAAGGCUGAAGCACAAGCCCAGAUAAUUGUUUGACAGAGGGGAAAUUAGGAGUAUUUUAACCUCCUCUAGUGGAAGGUGUCCCUGCCCAUGGCAGGGGGGUGGAAGAAGAUGGUCUUUAAGGUCCCUUCCAACCCAAACCAUUCUGGGAUGUGUUCUUCUGUCCAUGGAGCUGUUGGGGUUUGAUAGGGGAUGAAGGAUGAUGAAGCAAAAAAGGCCUGUGUAAUCAAGAAAUCAUUCUUCUCCUGAUGACAUCUGCACCUCAGAAAAAUCAGAUCCCACAGUGCCCUGAGGUGCCCUGAGGACGAGCUGAGCACUAAACCAGGCGGAUGAGCAGCAGGAGCCCAAGGUCUGACCUUCUGAAGGACCACUUGAGGAGAGCAGAGGCCUGGCCAGGUGAUUAUUCCAAGCUCUGCAGUGCCUGGAUGAGGUACAGCAUUGGAGCCCUGACCUCAUUUAUAGCUCCUGCAUUUAUGAAAAGCCAAGAGAUUAUGCAGAGAGCUUUCCUGAGGGUGAUCAUAUGAGGCAGGAGACAUGAAGUCAUCGUCCUAAAGCCCAAGGUGAAAUCAGGCUGUCCCAAAAAACCCCAGGCAGGCCUAGGGAUGCAUCUCGUAGUGCUGCAGGAAGGAAAACUGAUCCAGCUUAAUUUUUUUUAGGGUGUUUUCCUAAGAGGUCUCCUAAAGGGGACUUUGUGGUCAGUUUAGUCCUUCCAACCAACACACAACCACAAUUUGAUCAAGUUUAGAGUUAUAAAAAUACCAAGUGUCUAUGAAUUUCAUGAGUUGUCCAGUUAGAGUGAGCACUUCUGCCAUGCUGUUUCCUGGCUUUAUCCUUUAGGGAAAACUGGUAUUUAAAAUCUCACUCAGAGCAGUUUUCUGGGCUUAAGAGUUAGAAGACUAAAAAUCAAGAGGUAAUCACUUUUCUGUAGCUCAGCAUUUCACUCCAGGAAGACAAUCUGGGUAUCAAUUCUUCCCCCUACAGGAAAAAAUCCUGUCUUUCAUGGGAAAUAAUUCAAUCCUAUCUGCCUGAACUGAAGCCCACAGAGGUGCCUCUGACUUCCCAGGAGCCAGAUUGGGCUUGGUGCCUGUGAACAUGGUUGGGAAGGAUCGGCAGAACCCCCUGUCCUGCUUGGAGAAAGCCCCCUUGGAAAGCACAUCCCCGUCCAACAGCCCAGUCCUUCUGCUCUGCAGCACCUGGGAUGUCCCGGCAAAGCCUCCCAGGGUCCAGAAGAUCCCUGGGGGUUCAGGUUUUUGGGAGCUUCAGUGUGAGCAAAGACUUCCCCAUCCUCAGCUCCUGCUGUUACACAACCCGUGCCCGCCUGCGGUUUGCGUCAGCUGCAGAAAAUGCACGGUAAGGUUUGCUGCUUCCCACUUUGGAAAGCCACUUGGAAGACCUCGGAAUUACAACAGCCCUUCUCCUCACAACCCUUCUCAGCCUUUCCUCCCAGUGCUAAGAAACUCCAGUAACUGCUAAUUAUUCAGUAAUUAAGUGUCUCUCCGGGGUUGUAAUUGUGAGUCUGGUCUCUCCCCGUCACUGUGUGCUCGUUAGGUAGCAGCUUUCUCAAGGCCCAAACAAAUUCUCUCCUUUCCAUUUGAUUGGAUUACAAAAUUGCUUUAAACUCUGUGGAGAUGAUUAGGAAAAGUGUGUUUUUGCGCAACAGUUGCCAUGGGAACUAAAGGAGAGAGAGAUCUUUAUAAACCACAAGUCAAGCAGAUUGUGUUGCAGACAAUUAAUAUUGUCUCGUUCAUUUGCUUUAACUCUUUUGUGCACUUAUCCCAAAAUAGUUUUUGUCUCUUUUUCCAUGUCAAAUGCUGUGUCAAAGAGAUUCUGCUCCCUCGAGGAUUCACCCCUCAUUCUCUUGCAAGGCCGUCCUGGUUAGUUGCUUCUUCCUCUUCUUCUUUGCCUCUUUGGUCUGGGGACACCUCUGGGUGGGAUUUGGUUUGGGAUUGGGACACAAGUGUGGGAGAAGUGUCAAAGCUCCCAUCCUGUCACUGGAACCAGAGCACACUGGUGGCUGAGCUGAGCAGCUCUAAAUACUUCUCCUGCACCAACCCCUCUGCCCUCUUUGCUAACACCCCAGACUCCUCAAACCUUCAUUUCUUCUAAUUCCAUGUUUGACACUUCAGGAAAGAGAAGCUGAUAACUGACCCAGUGCCGAUCCCUCUGCUCUCCUCUCUUUCCAAACCCUCUUCCUCCAGCCCCAUCCCAUCUCCUGAGUUCUCUCUCACCUGCCCUCUCCCACAUCCUGCCAUCCUCUGGCUCUCCCCUCACAGCACAGGUAUCACAUCUUAAAAACAAUUAGCAAAGGAAUGUCCUUAUUUUCCUCCAGACCUCUGCCUGACUCUUUGAAUGGGAGGAAUUCCCCUACCAAGGGAAUUCAAUAUUCAUGCAUUUAAAAAGCAGGCUCCUCCUCAGCCCUCUCCCCUGUGUAGUGCUGACCUCCUUCCUCUGGAUUCAGGGUUGAAUAUGGGAUUACUCAUUUUCCCAGGGGCUGAUCCACCACUCUGUUGUUUCAGUUCUCCACAAACAGCAUUUCUGCCCCAUCAGAGGCAGAAGCUCCUUUCAGCGUAGAAGCUGCUUCAUUUUGAGGCCACUGUUCAGAUCCCAGGGUUGGGAUCCCAGUUCUUCCACCAUCCCACCUGUUUCACAAGAGCAGCCACGGGAUUUGAAAAAGGCAAGGGCCAAACCACCAAACUCCCAGUUCCUGAUCAAAAUCAGGGGAGAGUGAGACGACCUCAGAGAAACCCAGGGGAGAAUCAGCAUUGCAUGAGGAGGAAGGUCUGGGCAGGUAUUUUUGUGCUGAUUUGGGAGCUCCAGCAGACGUUACGUGCACAGGGCAAGACAAAAAUAGGCCAUAUUUAACUCAUUAUUCUCAGUCCAUAAAAACAUUCCACUUCAGGCCCAGUUUCUAUCCUUAAAAAUCCAUGAGGCAGGGGAGAUGUCAGCACACCUUGCAUUUUCCCUGUCACCAUGGAAAAGGAAGACUGUGUAACCCGAGAAGCUGGAACCAGGCAAGAAGAACCAGAAAGUGUUUUUUGUGGCCAGGGCUCCAUGUGGAUGCAUUCCCAGUCACCUGCCUUGUGCAGGCUGUGAAGAUCCAACCUCUGUGUUCCCUGCAGUCUCUGAGGCUGGAGGAAUUUCUCUGGGAAGCCUGUGGGGAAGUGGUGUUGCUUUUGAAGCCAAAAAUAAUUCUUUCAGAUAGACAACUUAACCUGUAACAGGCCCUUUACCUCACUGCUAUCAGAUAAUGCUGGUCAGAUGCAGGUCAUGACCUUCUGGAGGAUUAUUAGAUCAGAUUAGAUUAGAUUAUCUUCCUGGAUAAAGUCAGGAGGGCCAUGGGGUGAGAGGGAGAUUUUCCACAUAUCCCCAGGCAUCCAGGUGUUCUUUGGGGGGAUCACCUCGCUCCUCCUUUUCUUUGCAUCCCUGUUCCAUCUAUUUCAGCCUGCCCUGUGUGGGCACUGAUGCCAACCUCUUUCUAGUCAUAUCCUUGCUGUUGAGAUCAAACCCACUGCACCAGGCAGAGCCACAAACAGAGCCCUGGAAGCUUUUCCACCCUCGGAAGGAGACGGGCUGGCUGCUCUUGGCAGAAAUCUCGCUGCUGCUUAAUUGGAAAAAGGGUUUUAAAUCAGGCUGGUAUUUUUUCUUUAAGCAAGGCAUCUCAAAUGGAGAGCUCAGCAUCAAAGAAUCGAGCAGAGCAGCACAGAAGCAGCAGCAAGAGCAUCUAACAAGGCAGAGGAUGAGGCUCCUGACCCUGGUGAGGCUGGAAAGGGAGACAGCGCUUCCAAAGUUGUCUUUGAGCACAAGGGAACAUUUCUCCUUGUGACUUUUCUGUUUUGCAGCAAAAAGAGAAGCACAGCAACAGAACAAAACUGUUCUUCCAGAAGGAACCAUCAUAUCUAACCAAAUAUCUGCUCAUUGACACUGAGGGGCUCCGAGUCAGGCUCACAAGAGCAGGAACAGCACAUCAGGAUUUUGGAUUUAACACCCCUUCCCCAUUUCUCUCCCUGGAAAGACCUUCUCUGAGUAGCCCCAUUGCUGAUGGGCAUUUGCUCUCCUGGGCUGGGAUUAGGUUGGCAGAAACUUUGCAGCUUUCAAAUCCAAAUUCCCUGAGACUGGAAGAGUUUUGAUCUCACUCUGGACUUUAUUAUUUACAUUUUCUUUUCAUGGCCACGUGGUUUUGCCUUUGUACAGUGGGUGUGCAUUGGCCACACUCAUCCUCACAGGCAGCUUGUAAGGUUUCCUAAAAACUUCUGCUAUUUUUACAACUAAUUGUGCACUGCAGGAAUUGCAGUCCCAGUCCCCAGGGAGUGUGAGGGACAGGCUGUGAUAAGGGUGGACGUGCUGGGUCACUCACAGGAGGGUUUUUUUGUCACUCUGUACCUUCCUCCACCGCUGUCACUGGUGCCCAAGGGGUUACACUGAUCGACCUGCAGAGCAGGAGUUGGUUGUUCUUUAUGUUCUCUGUAAAUUCAAAUGGAAGCCUAUUUUCACUAAAAAAAAAAUAUGGAUUAA
Neopelma chrysocephalum (saffron-crested tyrant-manakin) is the source of this 4778-nucleotide long non-coding RNA. RefSeq lists it as uncharacterized. Lineage: Eukaryota; Metazoa; Chordata; Aves; Passeriformes; Pipridae. The transcript is spliced from 3 exons. The record is from RefSeq and is a predicted model, not a curated record.